GGAAGCACCUGAGGCUGAGGCUUCUGCCGCUGUGGAAGCACCUGAGGCUGAGGCUUCUGCCGCUGUGGAAGCACCUGAGGCUGAGGCUUCUGCCGAGGAGGGACCAAUAGUAGAGGAAAUUUCCCCAGAAGAGGCUGCCCCAGUCGAAGAGGCAGCGCCAGUUGAGGCAGAGUUACAUGCAGCCGAAGAGGUAGCAGUAGUAGUGGAGGAAGCCCCAGUGGAGGAAGCCCCAGUGGAGAAAGCCCCAGUGGAAGAACCAGCAGCAGAGGAACCAGCAGCAGAGGAACCAGCAGCAGAGGAACCAGCAGCAGAGGAACCAGCAGCAGAGGAACCAGCAGCAGAGGAACCAGCAGCAGAGGAACCACCGGCGGCAAAGGAGGCUGUGGCGACAGCCCAAGUGUCUGAGGAUGAGGCGCUCGUCGUGGAGGCGGUGAUGCUGGCAGCAGCCUCAGCCCUGGAUGUCGAGGCAGAGGCAGCCCCGGCUGAGGAAGUCAAGGAGGCCCUCUUCACUUCAUGCCACCAAUGUGAAGCCCCAGCUUCUGAGGCUGAUGUGGCAGUCACCCCCAUGGAGGUUGUAGAGGCUGCAUCUGUGGGGGAAGUAGAGGCUCCCCCUGCUGGUGUGGAGGAGGCAGUCGUCGAGGGUGAGGCAGUGGAGGUGACCGCAGAGGAGCGCGCCUCCGAUUGGCCUGCUGAGGUGACCGAGGCAGUGGAGGAAGCCAAGGUGGAAGGAGAGACUGCCAGGCCAGUAAAGAGGUCCUGCUCAGUGAUGUGAUAGUACAGAAGGUGCACAGAGUAUGAGCCUGAUGUUGCUGACAGCCCAGUCCUGACUGGAGACCAGCGAGAUGUGCCUUCUGGAACAGUCAGCACCCACAGCUGUCAAUCAAACAGGACGAUCAACAUAAAACACACACAGAAUUAGAACUGGUUUGAAUUGAAUUCUAUAAUUCUAUUUAACUCAUUAUAUAUUUAAAUGUUGUCUAAUGACAACAGUUGUCAACCCGGUAACUACAUUCCCGGUUCUCACUCAGUUUCUUGGUCUUGUAUUAUCCCUACCCAUGGUGAGGUGACACUUCUGUAAGGGUUUGAAGUCUGACUUUAUUCCUAGGCUCAGACCCAAAUGACACCUUAUACCCUAUAUAGUGCACUACUUUUGACCAGGGCCUGGGGGAAUAGGGUGCCAUUUGGGAUGGAUUUCAACUAUUUAUCAGUACCACCCUGUUCCCCAAGGUGGCACUGUUACCAAGCUGACGAAGACCACUUGAAUGUAUUUGAAGUUACUUGAUAAAUUAUUGUGUACUUGACAUUGCCUAAUGAAUUCUGACUAUUUUUUUUUUGAUUCAAUGAAAUAAGAUCUGAAUUGUUGUAUUAAACAGUAGGCCAUUAGACAACAUGUAGAUGGUUGUGUUCUUCAGAGACUGUUGAGUUAGUUCUGCAUGGAGUUUUUUUUAUUCAAUCAGGGAACAUCUAGAUUAAGUUUAGUUCUCAAGCCAGUAGACUGUUGGUAGACAGUGUUGUACCCAUGUGAUGUAAAAAAUAAAAUGUUAUUUUUUUCAGUCCAAUAAUAAUUUAUGUAAUAGCUUUGCAGGUGGGGUGGGGUGGUUGUGUGUGACACAGUAUGGAAAGACUAGUUGUCCAAACUAUCCUAUGGUUAUAUAUUCAUGUUGCUUGUGUAUAUUUUGUAUAGAAAGACUAGUUUGAAGAUCCAAACUAACAAUAUCCUGUCACUAUAGCCAUGUGUAUAUUUUGUAUAGAAAGACUAGUUUGAAGAUCCAAACUAACAAUAUCCUGUCACUAUAGCCAUGUGUAUAUUUUGUAUAGAAAGACUAGUUUGAAGAUCCAAACUAACAAUAUCCUGUCACUUAUUUAAGUCAUUAUGUAAGUGCUAAAACAGUUACUAUGAUGUCAUACUCAGAAACGUGUCAUAUGUUGUAUUUCUAAAUGAAAUGGAGCGUUACGCUUAUUCAGAACGGACAAGUGGACUGUCCACUUUUGACUUUGAACUUCAUUGACAUGAUUCCAUAUGUAAUUAUGAGAUUCAAUUUGGAGAGCCCUUUUUUUUAAUGGAUGAAAUGAUCAAUUCAAUAAUUUUUUAUUAUGUAUAGUAUCUGUUAUUGUGAAGACAAAUUCUUUGUAAAUAAAUCAAGGUGAUUUAAACUGUU
Long non-coding RNA from Oncorhynchus tshawytscha (Chinook salmon), 2159 nucleotides. The record is from Ensembl. Lineage: Eukaryota; Metazoa; Chordata; Actinopteri; Salmoniformes; Salmonidae.